AUUAGUAUUGAGAGUAAAACAUUACUGAGACUUCUUUUCCCUUCAUAGGCCAAAUUCUCUGCUGGCAUAUUUGAUGCAUAUAUGAUGCAAUUUGAAGUCUCCACUGGGUCUUCACCACUUUUUGUUACAGAGAACACAGGACAUUUUUUAUUAUUGUUAUAAUUUUGUAUAAACAAGGAUACAAUUGAAAUAGAAGCACUUUCUUUCACAGAUCCUGGAUUUGAGAGGCUAUUUAUGAACAUCAAACUGUGGUCCAUUUCUCCCUGGAGUAUCAUGCAGAUGUGCAGCUGCACAGCUGCAGCUCUUCAACACCAGUGGAAGUGUGAGCUAUCCACAGACACCAGUAAAAAGCCAGGCCCAUGCAGGCCACACAAGGACCUGCAUCUAUAUCCAGAGCAAAAACUCCACAGUUGUCUCAAGGGAGCAAAGUUUCUCUCAUGCCUGAUUCAUAACCAGAAGAGAAUUUCUCAGAAAUUGGAUUUUAGCAUUUGUCAGCCACAAGUUGUCAACCAAGCCUAUUUUCUCCUGAAAUCACUUGGAACAAGGGUCAUCCCAAAACAAAAGCUAUUCAAGCAGCCUAUCUGA
This 585-nucleotide long non-coding RNA is filed under the name Parus major (Great Tit). Its description in RNAcentral is "lncRNA (ENSPMJG00000015733.1)". The record is from RNAcentral. Lineage: Eukaryota; Metazoa; Chordata; Aves; Passeriformes; Paridae.